Molecule: long non-coding RNA, 977 nt
Filed under: Nicotiana benthamiana
Lineage: Eukaryota; Viridiplantae; Streptophyta; Magnoliopsida; Solanales; Solanaceae
Description: long non-coding RNA (NBEN_LNC014443)
Source: RNAcentral
UGGAACUCUUCCUGCCAAAAACAAGGGACCUACUUCUCAUCCUAGGAGUUAGCAGGUAUGAAAGAGUCCCCUCUCUGUCUGUCUCUCCGAGUUUCUACUACUAAGUAGCACUUCUGCUAUUCAAUCAUAGAAUCGAUUCCGAUCAAGCUGAAAAAAGUCAGCCCUAUAUAUGUUAUUAGUAAAGCGCUAACGCCCUAUCUAUAGUAAGGGGGCCUUUCUUGCUCGUUAGCGCUGUUUUUUGAUUGCAGCUAGGGCGCCCCUUUUCUUUCUCAAAGUCAACUUUCUCGCUUGUUAGUCAAGCUUUGAAGUCCCUACUUUAUUUAGAUUUAUGGGAUAUUUGAAGAAGCGCAGGUUUUCCACCCUAUACCUAUACAAGGGGCUGGUCUCGAUCUCGCUUGGUGGUACCCCUCUCGAUGAUGAUUGACUCAACAUUGAUUUCGUGCUUGAGUUGGAGGGCUCUCCCUCCAUCCAUCGAGUCAAGUAAUUCGCUAUCGGAAAUUGAUCCGCCGCCUAUCUCAUGCCAUGCUUCUUCUUUCUCCGAAUCGGUUCCUAGUGUCAGUCAAUCAAGAUUCGCCAUCAAGAGAGGGAAGAGCCUUGACUUUAGGUUAGGCCGGUCUCAUCAUUCACGCAAUUCCCCCGUCCAUCGAUUGAUCACGCGAGUACGCAUCCAGUCAGCGCAUAGCGAAUGAAAAAAGCGUUCAUCCUGGAUUCUCUUCCUCAAGAAAAAUGUCUAUCAAUUGAUCCCUAUUCAUUCGGUCAAAGUCUCCACUUUUCAUGCAAUUCCCCCGUCCAUCGAUUGAUCAUGCGAGUACGCAUCCAGUCAGCGCAUAGAGAAUGAAAAAAGCGUUCAUCCUGGAUUCUCUUCCUCAAGAAAAAUGUCUAUCAAUUGAUCCCUAUUCAUUCGGUCAAAGUCUCCACUUUUCACGCCCCUCUACUAAGAGAUGCACCAUGUUGAUAGGAAUCGGCAAAGACCUUCU